UGAGUGAAAUUCCUGAACUAUCCUUUUUGCAGGAUUCACUUAUGAUUUUAUUGUUUUGAAGUGAUUCCUGAACUAAGUUCUAAAGCAGGAAUUGCCGGUUUUAUCUUAUGUGGUGUUAGAGAUGUUGAGUAAAUUUUGAGAAUUACUCAUACGAGCUUUUUAGCUUACCGGGUUUGUUGUUUACAACCCGGUGCACCAAUUCAUGGUGUAGGGGUUAGACUUGCAGGUGUUGAUCAACAGGGUUGAGGCAGAGGCAUAGUGGCUGGGGUUUAGAUGAUGUACAUUUUAUUUGUAUAUUAUGUAAGUUGUUUUAAGCUCGUGUGAGCAUCUUCUUUUUACUAGACUUUUGAAGUUGUAAAUAAAGAGAUGUAAUGUUUAACUCAGUCAAUGAGUUUUGUUGACAUUUACAUUUCCAGCAUUUAAGUUUAGUAGGGAUUUGUUGACCAGGUCAUGUAGUCUUAUUUGUGAGUUAUAUCAUGCCCAAAUUUUUGAAAUUUAUCCUUCGAAAAUUGGGGCGUGACAUAAAAAGAGGUAAAAAAUAGUAAAUAUAUAUUAAUUAUAUUAAAUAACGGAAUAUUUCAUAAAUUAAGGGCAUUUUAGACAGUCUGGGAUAUGUAUUAAGUAUAAUAUUGAAAUGAAAAACUUGAUAGGUAGUGUAUUAAGUAAGGGGUGUGUACUAAGAUAUUAGGGGUGUGUAUUUAAAAUUUCUCUUUUGAUUUUAGCUUAAUUUUAACCUAUAUAUGAAAACACCUUUUCUCUCACCCCAUAAUACAAUUGUUUUAUCAAAGCUAUUUAAACGAAAAAUUCAAAGAUUGU
This 816-nucleotide long non-coding RNA is filed under the name Fragaria vesca (wild strawberry). Its description in RNAcentral is "long non-coding RNA (FVES_LNC002693)". The record is from RNAcentral. Lineage: Eukaryota; Viridiplantae; Streptophyta; Magnoliopsida; Rosales; Rosaceae.